Molecule: long non-coding RNA, 533 nt
Organism: Archocentrus centrarchus (flier cichlid)
Lineage: Eukaryota; Metazoa; Chordata; Actinopteri; Cichliformes; Cichlidae
Exons: 3
Source: RefSeq, a predicted model, not a curated record
CCAGCCAGCUAGUCGGCUCACUGUGUAGCCAGCUGCACCUUCACAUAAGGAUCUGCAAACAGAGCAUGGAGGAAAGUCACUCUGAGCUCCUCAUGAAGAGAAGAUGAGGUGUUCAUCUGAGCAUGUAGCCAGUGUUGUUCGACAAGCUAGAAAAACUCCUAAUCUUAAUGAGUAAUGUGGGAGGAAGCUGAGUCCUUAAGGAUUAUUCAGAUCUGUUUUAAAACAGUGAACUGCGUGUAACUCCAUCCCAGAUGUCACCACUACGGAAAAAGGAAACACGAGAAAGCAAACCUCAAAUUUGGCGGGCGCGUCCAGCUCCUGCCACUCUUCGAUGAUGUGGUUCCAGUCGACCUUGCAGAGCUCCACCCGGAUCUCGCCGAUGAUUUCAUGUUUGGAGAACCGGUUAAAGUCGAACACCUUCAUCACAGCUGUCGACUUCAUGAGGAUAGACUUGGAUAGCUGGGGACAUGUCACAGAUUCAACAUUAUCCAAACCAGGUUAAACAUUGUUCCAAAGUCCAUUCAUCCACUCUC